GGGGGUAACUGUGGUAGCUGCGCCAUGAGUACAACGCGAGGGGCGAGUUUGUGCCCUGUCCGUGGCCUCAGCACCUGCGGUGGUUGAGGUGGGUCACAGGGGUUGGGCGGUUUGCCCAUUAAAGUGGGACGCGGGCUGGGUUCAGAACGUCGUGAGACAGUUCGGGCCCUCUCCGUCGCAGGCGUAGGAAAUUGGAGAAGACCUGUCCUUAGUGCGAGCGGACCGGGAUGGACGUACCUAUGGUGUACCAGUUGUCCUGCCAAGGGCAUGGCUGGGUAGCUGUGUACGGAAUUGAUAAACGCUGAAAGAAUCUAAGCGCGAAACCACCUUCCAGAUAAAGUAUCCCACCGCAAGGGUAAGACCCCAGAACGAGUAUCGGGUUGAUAGGGCGAAGAUGUAAUUGUCGUAAUUGAUAUAGCUGAUU
RNAcentral lists this ribosomal RNA (424 nucleotides) under Clostridioides difficile. RNAcentral's name for it is "bacterial LSU rRNA". It matches the Rfam family "Bacterial large subunit ribosomal RNA", at positions 2470 to 2896 of the family's 2925-position model. The record is from RNAcentral. Lineage: Bacteria; Bacillati; Bacillota; Clostridia; Peptostreptococcales; Peptostreptococcaceae.